This 2919-nucleotide ribosomal RNA is filed under the name Staphylococcus aureus. RNAcentral describes it as "bacterial LSU rRNA". It matches the Rfam family "Bacterial large subunit ribosomal RNA". Lineage: Bacteria; Bacillati; Bacillota; Bacilli; Caryophanales; Staphylococcaceae. The record is from RNAcentral.
UAAGUUAUUAAGGGCGCACGGUGGAUGCCUUGGCACUAGAAGCCGAUGAAGGACGUUACUAACGACGAUAUGCUUUGGGGAGCUGUAAGUAAGCUUUGAUCCAGAGAUUUCCGAAUGGGGAAACCCAGCAUGAGUUAUGUCAUGUUAUCGAUAUGUGAAUACAUAGCAUAUCAGAAGGCACACCCGGAGAACUGAAACAUCUUAGUACCCGGAGGAAGAGAAAGAAAAUUCGAUUCCCUUAGUAGCGGCGAGCGAAACGGGAAGAGCCCAAACCAAAAAGCUUGCUUGUUGGGGUUGUAGGACACUCUAUACGGAGUUACAAAGGACGACAUUAGACGAAUCAUCUGGAAAGAUGAAUCAAAGAAGGUAAUAAUCCUGUAGUCGAAAAUGUUGUCUCUCUUGAGUGGAUCCUGAGUACGACGGAGCACGUGAAAUUCCGUCGGAAUCUGGGAGGACCAUCUCCUAAGGCUAAAUACUCUCUAGUGACCGAUAGUGAACCAGUACCGUGAGGGAAAGGUGAAAAGCACCCCGGAAGGGGAGUGAAAUAGAACCUGAAACCGUGUGCUUACAAGUAGUCAGAGCCCGUUAAUGGGUGAUGGCGUGCCUUUUGUAGAAUGAACCGGCGAGUUACGAUUUGAUGCAAGGUUAAGCAGUAAAUGUGGAGCCGUAGCGAAAGCGAGUCUGAAUAGGGCGUUUAGUAUUUGGUCGUAGAUCCGAAACCAGGUGAUCUACCCUUGGUCAGGUUGAAGUUCAGGUAACACUGAAUGGAGGACCGAACCGACUUACGUUGAAAAGUGAGCGGAUGAACUGAGGGUAGCGGAGAAAUUCCAAUCGAACCUGGAGAUAGCUGGUUCUCUCCGAAAUAGCUUUAGGGCUAGCCUCAAGUGAUGAUUAUUGGAGGUAGAGCACUGUUUGGACGAGGGGCCCCUCUCGGGUUACCGAAUUCAGACAAACUCCGAAUGCCAAUUAAUUUAACUUGGGAGUCAGAACAUGGGUGAUAAGGUCCGUGUUCGAAAGGGAAACAGCCCAGACCACCAGCUAAGGUCCCAAAAUAUAUGUUAAGUGGAAAAGGAUGUGGCGUUGCCCAGACAACUAGGAUGUUGGCUUAGAAGCAGCCAUCAUUUAAAGAGUGCGUAAUAGCUCACUAGUCGAGUGACACUGCGCCGAAAAUGUACCGGGGCUAAACAUAUUACCGAAGCUGUGGAUUGUCCUUUGGACAAUGGUAGGAGAGCGUUCUAAGGGCGUUGAAGCAUGAUCGUAAGGACAUGUGGAGCGCUUAGAAGUGAGAAUGCCGGUGUGAGUAGCGAAAGACGGGUGAGAAUCCCGUCCACCGAUUGACUAAGGUUUCCAGAGGAAGGCUCGUCCGCUCUGGGUUAGUCGGGUCCUAAGCUGAGGCCGACAGGCGUAGGCGAUGGAUAACAGGUUGAUAUUCCUGUACCACCUAUAAUCGUUUUAAUCGAUGGGGGGACGCAGUAGGAUAGGCGAAGCGUGCGAUUGGAUUGCACGUCUAAGCAGUAAGGCUGAGUAUUAGGCAAAUCCGGUACUCGUUAAGGCUGAGCUGUGAUGGGGAGAAGACAUUGAGUCUUCGAGUCGUUGAUUUCACACUGCCGAGAAAAGCCUCUAGAUAGAAAAUAGGUGCCCGUACCGCAAACCGACACAGGUAGUCAAGAUGAGAAUUCUAAGGUGAGCGAGCGAACUCUCGUUAAGGAACUCGGCAAAAUGACCCCGUAACUUCGGGAGAAGGGGUGCUCUUUAGGGUUAACGCCCAGAAGAGCCGCAGUGAAUAGGCCCAAGCGACUGUUUAUCAAAAACACAGGUCUCUGCUAAACCGUAAGGUGAUGUAUAGGGGCUGACGCCUGCCCGGUGCUGGAAGGUUAAGAGGAGUGGUUAGCUUCUGCGAAGCUACGAAUCGAAGCCCCAGUAAACGGCGGCCGUAACUAUAACGGUCCUAAGGUAGCGAAAUUCCUUGUCGGGUAAGUUCCGACCCGCACGAAAGGCGUAACGAUUUGGGCACUGUCUCAACGAGAGACUCGGUGAAAUCAUAGUACCUGUGAAGAUGCAGGUUACCCGCGACAGGACGGAAAGACCCCGUGGAGCUUUACUGUAGCCUGAUAUUGAAAUUCGGCACAGCUUGUACAGGAUAGGUAGGAGCCUUUGAAACGUGAGCGCUAGCUUACGUGGAGGCGCUGGUGGGAUACUACCCUAGCUGUGUUGGCUUUCUAACCCGCACCACUUAUCGUGGUGGGAGACAGUGUCAAGCGGGCAGUUUGACUGGGGCGGUCGCCUCCUAAAAGGUAACGGAGGCGCUCAAAGGUUCCCUCAGAAUGGUUGGAAAUCAUUCAUAGAGUGUAAAGGCAUAAGGGAGCUUGACUGCGAGACCUACAAGUCGAGCAGGGUCGAAAGACGGACUUAGUGAUCCGGUGGUUCCGCAUGGAAGGGCCAUCGCUCAACGGAUAAAAGCUACCCCGGGGAUAACAGGCUUAUCUCCCCCAAGAGUUCACAUCGACGGGGAGGUUUGGCACCUCGAUGUCGGCUCAUCGCAUCCUGGGGCUGUAGUCGGUCCCAAGGGUUGGGCUGUUCGCCCAUUAAAGCGGUACGCGAGCUGGGUUCAGAACGUCGUGAGACAGUUCGGUCCCUAUCCGUCGUGGGCGUAGGAAAUUUGAGAGGAGCUGUCCUUAGUACGAGAGGACCGGGAUGGACAUACCUCUGGUGUACCAGUUGUCGUGCCAACGGCAUAGCUGGGUAGCUAUGUGUGGACGGGAUAAGUGCUGAAAGCAUCUAAGCAUGAAGCCCCCCUCAAGAUGAGAUUUCCCAACUUCGGUUAUAAGAUCCCUCAAAGAUGAUGAGGUUAAUAGGUUCGAGGUGGAAGCAUGGUGACAUGUGGAGCUGACGAAUACUAAUCGAUCGAAGACUUAAUCA